AGCGAACGCUGGCGGCAGGCCUAAUACAUGCCAGUCGAACGAACUCUUCGGAGUUAGUGGCGGACGGGUGAGUAACACGUGGGAACGUGCCUUUUGGUUCGGAAUAACUCAGGGAAACUUGUGCUAAUACCGAAUGUGCCCUUCGGGGGAAAGAUUUAUCGCCAUUAGAGCGGCCCGCGUCUGAUUAGCUAGUUGGUGAGGUAACGGCUCACCAAGGCGACGAUCAGUAGCUGGUCUGAGAGGAUGACCAGCCACACUGGGACUGAGACACGGCCCAGACUCCUACGGGAGGCAGCAGUGGGGAAUCUUGCGCAAUGGGCGAAAGCCUGACGCAGCCAUGCCGCGUGAAUGAUGAAGGUCUUAGGAUUGUAAAAUUCUUUCACCGGGGACGAUAAUGACGGUACCCGGAGAAGAAGCCCCGGCUAACUUCGUG
This 433-nucleotide ribosomal RNA is filed under the name uncultured bacterium. RNAcentral's name for it is "partial 16S ribosomal RNA". It matches the Rfam family "Bacterial small subunit ribosomal RNA", at positions 29 to 507 of the family's 1533-position model. The record is from RNAcentral.